AACGAACGCUGGCGGCGUGGAUAAGACAUGCAAGUCGUGCGGGACAUCGUUGGUAGCAAUAUUAGCGGUGUCUAGCGGCGAACGGGUGCGUAACACGUAGCUCACCUACUCGAAGUGGGGAUAGCUCGCCGAAAGGCGAAUUAAUACCGCAUGUGGCUGUAAGACUAAAGCGGGGGAUCGUAAGACCUCGCGCUUCGAGAUGGGGCUGCGGCCUAUCAGCAGUUGGUGAGGUAACGGCCCACCAAGGCGAUGACGGGUA
RNAcentral lists this ribosomal RNA (259 nucleotides) under uncultured bacterium. Its description in RNAcentral is "partial 16S ribosomal RNA". It matches the Rfam family "Bacterial small subunit ribosomal RNA", at positions 29 to 285 of the family's 1533-position model. The record is from RNAcentral.